GAUGAACGCUAGCUACAGGCUUAACACAUGCAAGUCGAGGGGAAACGACAUCGAAAGCUUGCUUUUGAUGGGCGUCGACCGGCGCACGGGUGAGUAACGCGUAUCCAACCUGCCCACCACUUGGGGAUAACCUUGCGAAAGUAAGACUAAUACCCAAUGACGUCUCUAGAAGACAUCUGAAAGAGAUUAAAGAUUUAUCGGUGAUGGAUGGGGAUGCGUCUGAUUAGCUUGUUGGCGGGGUAACGGCCCACCAAGGCGACGAUCAGUAGGGGUUCUGAGAGGAAGGUCCCCCCACAUUGGAACUGAGACACGGUCCAAACUCCUACGGGAGGCAGCAGUGAGGAAUAUUGGUCAAUGGGCGAGAGCCUGAACCAGCCAAGUAGCGUGCAGGAAGACGGCCCUAUGGGUUGUAAACUGCUUUUAUAAGGGAAUAAAGUGAGAGUCGUGACUCUUUUUGCAUGUACCUUAUGAAUAAGGACCGGCUAAUUCCGUG
RNAcentral lists this ribosomal RNA (493 nucleotides) under uncultured bacterium. RNAcentral describes it as "bacterial SSU rRNA". It matches the Rfam family "Bacterial small subunit ribosomal RNA", at positions 28 to 507 of the family's 1533-position model. The record is from RNAcentral.